This 174-nucleotide ribosomal RNA is filed under the name uncultured bacterium. Its description in RNAcentral is "partial 16S ribosomal RNA". It matches the Rfam family "Bacterial small subunit ribosomal RNA", at positions 337 to 525 of the family's 1533-position model. The record is from RNAcentral.
UCCUACGGGAGGCAGCAGUGGGGAAUAUUGCGCAAUGGGGGAAACCCUGACGCAGCAACGCCGCGUGAUUGAAGAAGGUCUUCGGGUCGUAAACUUCUUUGAUCAGGGAAGAAAGAAAUGACGGUACCUGAAAAACAAGCCACGGCUAACUACGUGCCAGCAGCCGCGGUAAUA